Molecule: unclassified non-coding RNA, 188 nt
Filed under: uncultured fungus
Lineage: Eukaryota; Fungi
Description: sequence contains ITS1
Source: RNAcentral
UUGAUUAUUUGCUUAGACCACUCAGAAGAAACAUAACUAAAAUCAGAGUUUAAUACCUCCGGCGAGCGCCUGUGAAGGCCACAGCCCCGCCCUGGGGCUGCUCGCCGAAGCAACGAAUACAGGUAUGUUCACAGUGGGUUGGGAGUUGAAACUCGGUAAUGAUCCCUCCGCUGGUUCACCAACGGAGA